This 432-nucleotide ribosomal RNA is filed under the name uncultured bacterium. Its description in RNAcentral is "partial 16S ribosomal RNA". The stretch from base 20 to 302 matches the Rfam family "Bacterial small subunit ribosomal RNA", at positions 47 to 358 of the family's 1533-position model. The record is from RNAcentral.
AACGAACGCUGGCGGCAUGCCUAACACAUGCAAGUCGAACGAGACCUUCGGGUCUAGUGGCGCACGGGUGCGUAACGCGUGGGAACCUGCCCUUAGGUUCGGAAUAACUCCCCGAAAGGGGUGCUAAUACCGGAUAAUGUCUUCGGACCAAAGAUUUAUCGCCUUUGGAUGGGCCCGCGUUGGAUUAGCUAGUUGGUAGGGUAAAAGCCUACCAAGGCGACGAUCCAUAGCUGGUCUGAGAGGAUGAUCAGCCACACUGGGACUGAGACACGGCCCAAACACCCAGGGAAGGGAGAAGGGGGGAAAAAGGAAAGAAGGGGGAAGGAAGAACCCAGGAAGGCCGGGGAAGGGAUGAAGGAGGGAGGGUUGAAAAGGUCUUUAACCAGGGAUGAAAAGAAAGGAACGGGGAAAAAAAGCUCGGGGAAACCCGGG